UACGUAGGGUGCAAGCGUUGUCCGGAAUUAUUGGGCGUAAAGAGCUCGUAGGCGGUUCGUCGCGUCGGCUGUGAAAUCCCGAGGCUCAACCUCGGGUCUGCAGUCGAUACGGGCGGACUGGAGUACUGCAGGGGAGACUGGAAUUCCUGGUGUAGCGGUGAAAUGCGCAGAUAUCAGGAGGAACACCGGUGGCGAAGGCGGUUCUCUGGGCCUUACCUGACGCUGAGGAGCGAAAGCGUGGGGAGCAAACAGG
RNAcentral lists this ribosomal RNA (253 nucleotides) under uncultured bacterium. RNAcentral's name for it is "partial 16S ribosomal RNA". It matches the Rfam family "Bacterial small subunit ribosomal RNA", at positions 524 to 776 of the family's 1533-position model. The record is from RNAcentral.